Molecule: long non-coding RNA, 2991 nt
Filed under: Nicotiana tabacum (common tobacco)
Lineage: Eukaryota; Viridiplantae; Streptophyta; Magnoliopsida; Solanales; Solanaceae
Description: long non-coding RNA (NTAB_LNC006079)
Source: RNAcentral
AAAAAAAAAAAGAAAAGCAGGAUUUGAAAAUGUUUCUAGAAAAAUCAUUAAAAACAGUUGUAUGCCAGACAAUCCUCCUGCUCCUUAUCACAAGAUACGGUUUAAAUUGAAAUAGGAAUAUUUUCAACGCAAAGAAAGUUCUUAAAAGCUAAAACCGUUAAAAAUUCUUUUUAUAAAUAAAACAAAAAUAUUUGGAAACUUCAGAGAGUAAAUAAAUAACAAUUGAGAGCAGCAUGCAUGCAAUGGAUAUGUUGUAGACAAGUUUUUCCUCGAGUGAGCUGGAGACAGUGGAGAUUUGCACUUGAAUCCAAAACAGAUGCUUCCACUUUUCACCUGAAAAUGCCAAAUUCUACGUGUCCUAAUAUAAGAUAAUGUUGAAACAUUAAAAUACCACUUAUUUUCAUCAGCUCUACACAAGAAUUCUAAAACACAUACACAGAGCCACACAUGCUCACAUAUAUAUAUACCAUAUAUUCUAUACACAUAUUUGUUUGCAUUUAUUCAUGGUUGAAUAAUUAAAUUUUAAUUUUAUAUUUAUUUAAAUUGACUUUAUGCGAGCAAAUUGCAGCCUGAAAUUUGAACGGUUGGACGAAUUUUUUAGAGUUAGCUCGCUCUAGGAGCAAUUGGAUAAGAAAAACAAUACAAAAUAGCCUUCAACUGCUUUAAAAAGAACUUCCCCUGAAUGAACAGUUAACUAUACAAUGUGAUUCACAAGUUAAAAGCAUUUAUCAUCUAAUUAACAUAUAGAAUAGGGCUUUUUUUAGCUCGUGCCAGAAACUAUUUAUAUUUGAUAACAAAAAAAGUAUAUAAAAUUUGUAUAAUUUUGUAUAUAACAUACAGAAUGUACAUAUAUACAAAAGAUAUACAAAAAAAUAUAUUUUUUCGGCUAUUUAUUGAAAGCGGCUAUAUAGUAGCAUUUUUCCUCUAAUAAAUACAUUUUGAAGAAAAAUAAAAGUUGUGUUCGUGUUGGUCUCUUAUCAACUAGAGUAUAAAUCACAGUAAAUAGCAUAAUUUUAAAUCUAUUUAUAUUAAUAUUUUUUAAAAAAUUAAUAUAUGUAACUGAAUAUGAAAUAAAUAUUAUGAAAAAAGAAAUUUCUUUUUUUCAGAAUUUUUUUUUAAAAAUGUAUUUGUCCAUGAAAUUUUACAAGUUUUUGAAAUUUUUUCGAAAAUAAGUUUUUCAAAAAUCAAAAAGUGGUUUUGAACACUUUUUCAAAAUGUUCCAAAAUACUUUUUUCCUCACUAACAAAACUACAAUAUUUAUGUUUAAAGGGAAAUACAUGUUCAAACAUAAUUUGAAAUACCAUUUUUCAAUUUAAAUCUAAAUGAGUAUUUUUUUUCAAAAAUUACAAUUCUUAUCUUCAAACGCCUACUUAAAAUUCUGUAUUUUUUCAAGUGGAAAAUCUUUUCCUGUUCUCACAUUGGCACAGAUAUUAUAUUUAGUAUCUCUUCUCUCUUGAUUAUAUAAAAGUUUUGAACAUAUAUAAAGAUCAAAAAGGAUUAAAAAAGAAUUAUUUCCUUGACCAGCUAUAAAAAUUAACUUACAACAGAUACUUCAAGCUAUGAAUUAUUCUCACAUAUAUAUGAGAAUCAAUUCCUAUUAAAGCAGAGUUUCUUCCAAUAAAUAAAUUAAUAAGACAAACAUCUCAAAAUUUAUCACCUGCUGUAUCCCAGUAGCAACGCCAACAAAUAAAAAUCAGUUUAACUACUUCAAAAUUAUUAGAAAUCACAAAGUAGGAGCGCCAUAGAUAAAUUCUCAUGCGAUGGAAAUUAUUAAUAUUGUUACCUUUUAGAAUUGCUAGACUUGACAUAAUCAAAGAUAAAUUGACAGAAAUUCAUGAUUAAUUUGCAUUUUUGGAAAACAGAAUGUAUAUGUAAAUGCUAAAGAAUAACCGAAUAAACAUGUGUAAUUGGCAAUCAAGUCAAAAAUAAGAAAGAGAAAGUGAAAGUAGUCAACAAAAAAGUUAAAAGUAAAAAGUUUAAAAUGAUAGAAACUAAAAGAACUCAAUUAUAUCCAACAGAAUGUAUAUCUUAUAUACAGCAAAUUAAAUGAAAGAACGGUUUCAAGAUAAGACUUGAAAUUAAUUAACUCAAAAAACAAGGAUUCAUUUUCGAUACAAAGUUUUACCGAAGUACAAAAUUUGUCAAUGCUCUGCUUAAGCUUUGGCAGCUAAACUUCAAGUUCAAUGAUAUAAAUUGUGUAGAAACACAGUAAACUUAAUUAGGUAUAAACGUGCGAGAAGAACGUCGACAUUUUAUUCGAAAGCAUCCAUACACUACAACCUCAGAGGAAAAGGAAAAGGAAAAGGCAAGAUCGAGAUUAGGGAAUUAUAUAUAAAAUGAUAGCUAGAAGUGGAAAUUAAGUCGUAAAUGCAGGUUUUAUAAUCCUCUAAAGAUACCAAAAACAUGCCAAUUCCAUGCAAACGUACCAUGCAUAAGUAUUUGUCACUGUUUCUCAAGAAUCAUCUUUAGCAGAAUUUAUCAAGACGUUGAUGUUGCUUAAUGCUGUAGUGCUUUAAUUUGAUGCUGAAUACUUCUGUUUUCCUUCUUCCUCACUAUUAUUUUCUCACCACCUUAGCAAGAGUACUUUAUAUAAUAUUCUCCUGCUUCCUUCACAUUACAAAGAAUUUAUAUAGGCUCAUGGCUGUACUCUUAGGCUGUACUUUGCCCAACAGUGGAGUAACUACAAAAAUAAAGAGGACUCAGCAACCCACGCGUACAAGCCCUACCCUACCAAAAGAAAACAAAACACACACACGAAAAAAAAACUCUCACGUUUAAUUCUAAUGGUAUAUACUAAUCAAGAUACUCCAAUAAGAAAAAGAAUAAAUGGAAUUAACAAAAUGAACAGUGGUAAAAAUAGAAAAAGGAGCAUGUGUAAACGGUGUGUUGCUUACGAAAGAGUUGAAAUUCUUGAAAAUUGCUGGCUACAGAUAUUAGCUAGAUUCCUGCAUGGUCUUGGAUGAUGUUUCAAUGUCCUUUAGUGCGUUAUAA